Rhinopithecus roxellana (golden snub-nosed monkey) is the source of this 580-nucleotide RNA transcript. It is a transcript of the gene named ubiquitin-like protein FUBI pseudogene, with no coding region annotated. Lineage: Eukaryota; Metazoa; Chordata; Mammalia; Primates; Cercopithecidae. The transcript has a single exon. The record is from RefSeq and is a predicted model, not a curated record.
ACGUGAUACGCAGCUCGAGGUCUGUGCAGACGCGCCGUCGCUUCUUCCUCUUUCUCGACUCCAUCUUCGCGGUAGCGGCAGCUGGACCCACGGUUCAGUCGUCAACAUGCAGCUCUUUGUCCGCGCCCAGGAGCUACACACCCUCGAGGUGACCGGCCAGGAAACGGUCGCCCAGAUCAAGGCUCAUGUAGCUUCACUGGAGGGCAUUGCCCCGGAAGAUCAAGUCGUGCUCCUGGCAGGCACCCCCCUGGAGGAUGAGGCCACUCUGGGCCAGUGUGGGGUGGACGCCCUGACUACCCUGGAAGUAGGAGGCCGCAUGCUUGGAGGUAAAGUCCAUGGUUCCCUGGCCCGUGCUGGGAAAGUGAGAAGUCAGACUCCUAAGGUGGCCAAACAGGAGAAGAAGAAGAAGACCGGUCGGGCUAAGCGCCGGAUGCAGUACAACCGGCGCUUUGUCAACGUUGUGCCCACCUUUGGCAAGAAGAAGGGCCCCAAUGCCAAUUCUUAAGUCCUUUGUAAUUCCGGCUUUCUCUAAUAAAAAAGCCACUUAGUUCAAAAAAAAAAAAAAAAAAAAAAAAAAAAA